CGGCGACUGGCAGCCGGGGGUCUUCAUGACCCGCCGGACGUGGUCGUCCAGGAUGCUCUCGGGGUUCUCCUCGUGAGCGUCCCUCGGAGCGGCGCCGCUGAAGGGGCUGUCGGCGUAGCGCGGGUUGUGGUUCUGAGGAAGCACAACAGCAUCCGUCAGAUUCCAGAGAACUAUGCAAGCAGGCAGCACAUUUGACAGAAUUCUUCUGAAGAAGUUUUUAAUAAUUCAUGCAUCUUUGUAUCUCUGCACCACAUCCCGUGUUAGCCGAGUCGACUGGAAGGUACUCGAGGAACCACGUUGUCUCCAUUUGAGGAAAUCAUCGGCAAACAGCAGAUUCCUGACAUACGUGACAUUCUGCUGACCAACAGUCUCCAUGAGCUCACGUACACAAACGUCUUUUUAACGCCAUACAAAGACGCAGACAGGCGAUGACCGUCCCGCUCACAAGGGUCCUUUUGUCAUUGAUUUUCUUUCAUUAAAAGCAUGCUGCUGCUCGGCCCAUGAGAGUUAUCCUGCACACAGCUCAGCCACUCGACCCAGCGUCCCCGAAAUGACGUUAAGUGAAGCCGUGAUUUGAUUCCCAGCGGACUGUGACAGAGCUACGACAAUGAGCAUAGUGACCAAUCAUCUUUUGCUCGGAGCAAUAAAAUGCUUUCUAACCAUUAAACGUCAUGCGAUAUAUGUGAUUUGAAUACGUCUGAUAUUACGGUUGAAAAGCUAAAUACUGAGCUAACAUCUCCUUUUCUGGACGCUCACUUGAUGAAGGAGGACAUUUCAUGUUGCCUCCAGGCGGCACGUUGUUCCGGGCGUGCAGGUGCUCCGUGGGAUUCAUCCACGAAGCCGGCAGGCCGAGCGUGGAAUUCUCCAAGUGAUUCAUGAUGCUUUUUUUUAAAUUCCCCAUUCAAAUGCCCGGCCUCAUUAAUUUCAUUAAGGCCAGAGGGAUUUAAGUCCCGAUGCUACUGGUCUGCUCCUCAAACAGCCCCCCGUGGCAGCAAUUCAUUCUAUUUUUUUAUAAGUAAAGGGCAGCUGCUGGAGGUAAAACAUGGUUUGCAGGCAAUGGCCCUUCUGGCCUACAAGCCCCUCACAUCUUCACAUUCACAAAUGUGAACUAAAAACAAACUAGAAAAGACAAUUUGAAGCAACUCGGGCUUCCUCGAUUGUGAAUCGUCAACAAAUGAAGAUUUGCUGCUUUACUUAGUUUGAACUGUUCAUGUUAAAUGAGGAAUUUGAAGGUCAGGUCGGCUCUGGGAAAUGACCAGUCUAAAAAGGGCAAGUCUACCACAUAUUCUCGGAAAACUAAUUUGAUCAAACGGUUUAAUGGGGAGCCAAACAUCAAGGUUAUUUUUCAUCUGGCCGACAAUAUUAUUAAUAAUAUCGGCUGCCAACUUGGCCUCACAUGACUCGAUGGUGGAACUUUGCGGAGUGAAAGCAGUGCUCCCUUUCCUUCCUUAUCGACGGAGCAUUUGCACAGUGGUUUCUCAUGGAAACCUAUGGACAUACAUGCAUGUUUUAAGGUACUUAUCUGUUAAUUGUUGCUUAAGUAUUUUUAUCUUAUUUUACUUAACUUUCUUAUCCUUAUAUUGCACCAAUGCAAUGCAGUCAAAUUCCUCUGUGUGUAACACGUGUGGCAAUAAACGGCUGUGAUUGAAGGUUA
Long non-coding RNA from Gasterosteus aculeatus aculeatus (three-spined stickleback), 1654 nucleotides. RefSeq lists it as uncharacterized. NCBI's taxonomy places the organism in Eukaryota, Metazoa, Chordata, Actinopteri, Perciformes, Gasterosteidae. The record is from RefSeq and is a predicted model, not a curated record.